UUUUCUCCGCAUUACCUGCUUGUGGUCUGUUUCUUUCUGUAAGAUUAUCUAGUUUCCUAGUGAAAGCCCCGUAUAAUCCGUGUGAAGGCAAAAGAGGAAUUCCGGCUUUUUUCACCAAAGCUUCUUACUUGACGGCCGCGGCUUAUAUUGUGACAAGGUGGCAUGACACGACUCCCGCUCGCAGUGUCCUUAAUGAAUGUGUGCCUGAUGACACUAGGAUGGAUUAGAGAUGUGCUACAAAGUUUCUUUCCUUCCCGCCUGCACGGGGGUGUUGUGCUCGACAAGUUGCAUUGAAAAAAUGGGAACAGCUGAAUAUUCGACAAAUGACAUGUCAAAGGUUGACAUCGACUGACAGGCAGUGACAAUAAUUCUGUUAGUACCCAACAUUCUCCCAGGAAACCAGUGACAGUUUAACAGCAUUACACAAGUACUGCGCGUUAAAAAUCUAAAGUAAAGCACUCGGUUAGUGAACGUUAAACACAACAGUGACGAGUGAUGUCCCACCCUCAUGCUGACAGUAGACAUCAGCACCACCAAACGUUCUUGGCUGCACGAUGCUUAGCCCGUAUGACGGUUAUUAUUUCUUUUUUUUUUUUUUUACCCUAAAGGGUGAGAUGCAUGCUUAUCUAUUUACACACGCACAAAUCAAAUCAGCCCUCUACAUCCUCCCACUCCCAUCUCUCUUUUCUGACACCAUGACUCUACUCUCAUACCUUUUUCUUUCUUUCUUCAAUAACACCUCUUACUUUAUCCCGUCGUCAUUUUCUCCAGUUCUGUUUCAGGCAACGAGGCCUUGAUACAAUGAUUAUGAUUUUAUUGUACAAACUUUAUGAUUUUAUUUCUGAGCUCACAGCUAAAAUACCCGUACAUCACGCACAGUAUGGAAACUCAAACGAAAAGUAUACGCAAUGAAGAAGCAGAUGAAUGAAACCAUCUUGAUAAAAUCAUCUGCUGAUGACUGGGAGUACCGAUCGUCGUGUGAGUAAGAAAUUUCCUCUCCCCGCUGGCUCCGAGUAAUUUAAGUUUCCACACCCAGAUUCUGAUCUGUUAGUUUUUAAAUUAUGUAAUGCAAUUUGAAUACUAUUUUAUUAUUUUGUUUUUAUUUUUAUUUUAUUUUUAUUUAUUUUUUUUAGAACUUAAGCAGAUCGAAUUGUUCAAACACAAGAGCUGGAUGUAUAAAUGGAAUGAGUGUACGAAUAUGUCAGUUAGGAACGAAAGUGUUAACAGUGACGCUGAGAGUUUACAAACAGAGCUCACCCUAAAAUUGUGGCGGGAAAUAGGUAGCAAGUUUCACUCAGGCCCAUAAUACCAAAGAAAAAAGACGCGCCUGAGUCACGGCAUCUACAUCUGCCCUGGCUGGGAUUGAUAUAUCCUACCAUGGUGGUGUCGAUCGAGGCGAAGUAUGGUGUCAUUUUCUUUUGUUGUUUUAUCCAAAUGUAAUAGAACUCACUUACGUAUUAGAUUUUUGUAAAACUGAGGUACGAGUGAAGGCUGUAUAAAAGGAUAAGUAGUGUUAAGUACAGAGUUACAGAUGUUUAUGUCUAACGGGAGCCAUCUUGAGUACAGAGAAAUUGUCUAUCAGGAAUUCAUUAUCCACUCUCCUUUGAUCCGCCAACGCAGCAGCGCUGGGAUCCGCACCACGAGGUACGAGGAUGCCUCGAACAGGAUUAUCACCUGCCCCCAUGACGUCACUGUGGCCGACACUCUACCGUGACCCCGUCCUGAGCCGUCUGACCGACACGGUCAAGUCCGUACGACAUCCACAGCAGCUUCAGCCGUUGUAGUCAUCUGAUCGACCGAGCUGGAAAUACACCGACACCUGCAGAGAGUAAACCUCCAGAGCGGCAGUUGUCUAGUCCACGGCGGUGAUGUAACCAAGUUUACCUGAACGCUCGAGUCGCCCGCAGGUCAGCGACAUUACAGUGACCUACUGCGCAUGCGCCUCGACAAAACCCAGGAGAGAUGAUGUUACCACGAGCAGGCCUGACGAGAGGGGGGGACAGGGGGGUCUGGUGUACC
Molecule: long non-coding RNA, 2019 nt
Organism: Pomacea canaliculata
Lineage: Eukaryota; Metazoa; Mollusca; Gastropoda; Architaenioglossa; Ampullariidae
Exons: 3
Source: RefSeq, a predicted model, not a curated record